RNAcentral lists this transfer RNA (72 nucleotides) under Ictidomys tridecemlineatus (thirteen-lined ground squirrel). RNAcentral describes it as "Spermophilus tridecemlineatus (thirteen-lined ground squirrel) tRNA". It matches the Rfam family "tRNA". From Rfam's summary of the family: Transfer RNA (tRNA) molecules are approximately 80 nucleotides in length. Lineage: Eukaryota; Metazoa; Chordata; Mammalia; Rodentia; Sciuridae. RNAcentral also lists the same sequence under 1 other name. The record is from Rfam by way of RNAcentral.
GGGGUUGUGGCUCAGUGGUAGAGCACCUGCCUAGCGAGUGUGAGGCACUGGGUUUGAUUCUCAGCACCACUU